This 707-nucleotide long non-coding RNA is filed under the name Ananas comosus (pineapple). RNAcentral describes it as "long non-coding RNA (ACOM_LNC003010)". Lineage: Eukaryota; Viridiplantae; Streptophyta; Magnoliopsida; Poales; Bromeliaceae. The record is from RNAcentral.
AAGCUGCUAUUUUUGUUUUUGUCAUGCACUGACAGCACAGGAAAAAUGAAGGAAUAAAAUUGGAAAACAAAUAAAUGCAGCCGGGGACAAAAAAAGAGAAAAUUUUAAAGAAGACAAAAAAAGAGAAAAUUGUAGUAGUUAUAUGUGUUAGCUGGUUACUAUCUACCUUCUUUUCUUGUCUACAUAUAUCUGAAUAGACCUAGUGGGUGAAUCGGCGAGGUUGACGGCCGAACCCACUGGAAACUUUUAGUAGUUCUCACACCACUAACCAUAUAGGUUUUAGUUCGUGCGGGGUGGCCGAGGAUCAUGACAGGGAUAGCUCGCAAUAGAUAGCGACAUCCAUUGAGUAUAGUUAUACCUUGUAUAUUUUAUUUGUUAUAGUUGAUAAAGGAAAAUAUAAAUUAUUUGUUUGAGAGAUGGAAAUGUAAAUGUAUGAAUGUUAUAACAUGCAAGCUUUGUAUUUGAUUUAAAGUAAUCAAGUUACAAUGUAUAAAUGAUUUGGUUAGUUUACUUCACUUGCUUGUGUUGCUUACCUUCGAGUAAGCCAUGUAUACUGAAAAUUUUUCUGGGCAUUUUAUUAUACAUGUUUAGUUGUUGUGCUGAGCCUUAGACGAACAAAGGAGGUUCUGUUUGUUUGGCGUCUGUGUGCGGGCCCGACCCGACCAAAUUGGCGGUCUCGGAACGUGACAGAAUAGUCCACCCAAACU